Molecule: small nuclear RNA, 107 nt
Organism: Arvicola amphibius (Eurasian water vole)
Lineage: Eukaryota; Metazoa; Chordata; Mammalia; Rodentia; Cricetidae
Source: RefSeq, a predicted model, not a curated record
GUGUUCACCUUGGCAGCACAUAUACUAAAAUUGGAAGGAUACAGAGAGGAUUAGCAUGACCCCUGUACAAGGAUAACACACAUAUUUGUGAAGUGUUCUAUAUUUUU